Molecule: non-coding RNA, 625 nt
Organism: Ictalurus punctatus (channel catfish)
Lineage: Eukaryota; Metazoa; Chordata; Actinopteri; Siluriformes; Ictaluridae
Source: the annotation of a RefSeq genome assembly
UCAUGUGAUGCUGUAAGGGUGGAGCUUAAUCAACCUUUCUGAUGUUAACAUAUUAGAGUACAGAAAGAGCUUAGAAAUUUUUUAUCCAGCUAAGACCAUUCAUCAUGUUCACUGUUAUAUUCUUGUGUUUGUGGUUUUCACUAGAUGACUCCAUGGCAGAUCCAAUAGAGCCACUUGACACUCAUAAAGCUGUAGAUGAAGGUGAUAAUCUUACUCUGUCCUGCAGCUACAAAAAAUUCACUGGUGUAGUAACCACCCUGCAAUGGUACAGGCAAUAUCCAAAAUCAAAACCUGAGUUCCUUCUUCAAAUUUUACCAAGUGAACGUAAAAGUAACACUGGCCCACCACGUCUGUCUGCUGAAGUUGAUCAAAAUAAUAAAGAAGUGGAUCUGCUCAUCUCCUCUGCUGCUGUAUCAGACUCUGCACUAUACUACUGUGCUCUGCAGCCCACAGUGACAGGAAAUUCAACUGCACUGUACAAAAACCUCGACCCAGUUAUGUUUACACCUGUGGCAAAUGAAAGUCACUUCACUAACUGCUCAGCAGGAAGCGAGCGGACCAAAACAAAGUCAUGUGACUCACCCGAAGACGAGCCACUGUGCCAUCUGCUGGCCGUGGCGUAACA